GGAGGUUUAAAAAAACAUUUAUUGUUAUUUUCACGUUAAUUGUGUAGAGGCAUGUACUUCAUUCACAAAAUAGGAACAGUAAAAUUAAUCAGACAAGAAAAAUAUAUAUGUUGUCUUUUUCUUACAUUAUCAAUAUAUAUAUACACACAUUGUAAAAUAGGACAUUGUAACAAAAAGAAACCAAAAUAUAGCAAUAAGCAAGUUAUGAUAGGCCACAUCUGUGCUGUGAAUACAGAUGUAGUGUGUUGUCGGUCUAAAAAAAAGAACUGAAAUUAGACUGAAAUUUUCAGAUUCUUUUUCCAUUUUCACAGGAGUUUGUAUGGCUUCAUUUAUAAAGUUGAGACAGACCAGAGUAAAGCUAAUUAAAAACAUGACACACCUAGCUAUAGUUGGAAAAAAAAACCCAAUUUCUGUUAUAACACCUCAACCCCCAUUUUCCUGGUAAAACUUUUUUUUUUUUUUUUAAACAGAAGUUAGGCGCCAUGCUUUUGAGCAUUAGUCAGACAUUUAUGUACAGUGCCAUGAAAAAGUGUUUGCCCCCUUCUCGACUUUUUAAAAAAAUAUUUCCCCCUUUUAAUGUCUAAGACCAUCAGACAAAGAAAACCAAAGUAAACACAAAAUGCAGUUUUUAAAUGAUGAUUUAAUGUUUUAAGGGAAAAAAGCUACCCAAACCUACAUUUGUUUGAUGAUCUUAAACACUCAAGUGGGGAAAAUAUGCAGAAAAAAAUAAGAAUUUGAUAAAAGGGGCAAAUGUUUUUUCACGGCACUGUAUGUUCACAGACAUGUAAAAAUCUCAUGGCUGCACAGAAGCACUUCUCCCAAGACAACAGUAUUACAAAGUAAGAACACUCACUUAAGCGUUACAAAAUACACGCGCGCACUUUAGUCUCGAGGCCAAACGGCCCAGAGAAAGAAUAUAGGCAAUGUGUAAAACAACAAGACGACAGGUCCAAUGUUUCAGAAUCAGUGGCUGUAAGUGACGAGUGGAACGAGCCAGGCUCCAUAUUCAAGAUACACAAUAGAACCAUUUCAUCUUUUUCUUUUACUACAUGUCAAAGUGAGAAGUUCAGAAAAAAUCUGCGCAUGACCAGAACUUAACCUUGGCUUGGAUCAUGAUCUCCAACAGUAAUGUAAUCUGCUACUUUGAGAUCCAACCACAGUGUGAUUAUACGGUAACAAAUAUCUCCCAAUUCUUUGUUUCUAAAGAGUACUUACAAAUAUACUCAAACAUGAUUGGAAGGAGAAGAACGUAAACAUAAAGUCAGAAGAGCAGGCUGUUUUUAACGCUCCAUUAUUCAAAUCAGAUACCUUCACUGUCCUGCCUGUGGCUCAUUCAGCACAACUGUGACAUUAUUACCAAGAGACAUCCACAUCUUACAACACCACUACCUCACGCUACACGAUAGAAACAGCUGUAAACUUGUACAUCACCAGAGUCUGGUGGGAUCUAGUUAGUAGGAGGCUCAUCCAGCAACAGUCAAGGAUGUGAUUAGAGAUGUGAGUAAUGACGGACAUCAGGAAGUUGCUGUCGCCCUCCAAUGUGAAUUGAAAGUUGCACUAAAACAACAACAACAAUCCUUGGAAUAAGGAUGGAACUCAUUCCUGAACAACUGUUAUUUGGUUUUUUUUCUGGUAACACAGUCCAAUUAUUUCUCUUCCUUUACAGAUUUUGCCAGAACCCGUGAGCCGCAUAUCAGAUGCUCAACACUGACACGAGACAAUUCACUGGUAAAUUUUAUACAAACUGAGGCUCUUCAACAGUUCAAGGUCACAACACUUAGCUGACUUUAAAUUGCGCACGUGUCUGCAGUGGCAAGGUGAGCAGACGCUGUAGCUGACAGCUCCAUUUUACAGUUGAUCAGACGGGUUCAAUUCACUUUCAGAUUAAAUCUGGAUGGGUUACUUCAGGAGAGAAAUGCAUAUUAAUUGGAUCUUAAGAAAAUAUCUAAUUGUGAAUAAAAUCACACCUGCAAAUUAGACUGAAGGUGAAUUGAGCCCUGAGUUGGAUGAUGUACAGAAAACUCUACAGAGGAAUGAGGGCAGGUAACAGGCGUUUUGAGCCACCUGCUGGCGAGCACUAGCAUUGCAAGGACAUCAUGACCCACAACAGGUAGAAGGGACAGAUAAAUGUGUUAAGUACUGCGCCACAGCUACUGGUAAAUACAAUUUGGUUAUGAUAACAUUGGCCAGUGAGGUUAAGAUAAAGCUAAGAUGCUGUAAACACUUCAGGUUCGGAGGUGAGAGCUCCUGACAAGCCAGCCCUUAUUUGGCAAUGAGUGUUGGUAUCUUAGUAAAGGUUGAAAGCACUGAGCUGUAGAAAAACAAGCUGGAACACAUUGCGGGCUAAGAAUCACUGGUCAGACUCCAAAAGAUCAGGUAGUGAAGGACGCUGCACAUUGCAUGAAAUACAUCUCCCAGGUUAAACGGUGCAUUUAUAAACAACAGGUUUGAACACAAGUUGGCCACAAAAACACGUAAAGCUGAUACUUUUAGUCUCCGUUAGUCAUUAAAAAAAGGAAAAAUAUGACUGCCACUUUAACUGUUAUACACAUUCUCUCUCUCACACAUACACAAUACACCAUGAAUCACAUGAUCAUCCAACAUCCAUCAUACCUGGGAUGCUUUUUGGACAUGAUAAAAAAAAGCAGCACAUUUUUUUGAUGGACAUUGAUAAUCUACAAAGUGCAAAUGCGCCAUCUUGUGCUCUGAAAUCCAAAAUGCCACUCCAAAUCCAGCCAGUCUUCCCUUUUGUGCACUGGCGCAGUCCACUGAACCAUGCAGUAGAGUCCAGGUUUUGGUGGGAAACAUCCAUCUCAAAAGGUGCGGAUCAUAAAUGCGUUCCAACAUUAUUAGUUAAAAAUAAGACACACAAAAAAACGGUCACACAGGUAAACUGAUUCAUCCAUCUCCACAGCAAGUACUGCCUUUCUGAAAACACGAGAGAGGAAAUGUUCAAAACAAAUAUACUGCUCUGCUCCAGCUUGUCCCACACUCUUCACUGCAGCUUUGUGCCUGUAAAUAAAGUCUUGGUUCACCCGGGAAGCGUUUGGCACAAAAAGUUGUCUCAUUAAACACCAAAAGUAGCUCUGAUUCCCUCCAGGAUUCUUAGAUUUUCUUCAUCAAUAAAUGCUCGAUUUGUGAGAGAGAGAAAAAAAAAACAGCACAAAGAAAUAGGUAUAUAGCUGAAUGUGUGGCUGUUAGCGUGUGUGUAUGCAUUGGUGAGCCUGGGAACAAGCUUGUAUCACAUGUCUUCUGGGAGUAGGUGUGAGAUGUGCUUAUGAGACUGCAUGCAAAAAUGCCAACACUAUAAAUGCAUUGCUGUGCUGUGACGGGCAAAUUGACUGCAUUUCCAUAGUUACUCUGAAUGGGUCUGUGGGGAUGUGGUUCCACUGAGGGAUUGUUGCCAUGGUGAUGAGCUAAACGGUUGUGUUGCUUAAGGCAUCAUAUUAGAUGACUGAGGUGUUUCUCCUG
This is a long non-coding RNA of Amphiprion ocellaris (clown anemonefish), 3471 nucleotides long. Lineage: Eukaryota; Metazoa; Chordata; Actinopteri; Pomacentridae. The record is from Ensembl.